RNAcentral lists this ribosomal RNA (730 nucleotides) under uncultured Vibrio sp. Its description in RNAcentral is "bacterial SSU rRNA". It matches the Rfam family "Bacterial small subunit ribosomal RNA", at positions 63 to 766 of the family's 1533-position model. Lineage: Bacteria; Pseudomonadati; Pseudomonadota; Gammaproteobacteria; Vibrionales; Vibrionaceae. The record is from RNAcentral.
CGAGCGGAACGAGUUAUCUGAACCUUCGGGGGAACGAUAACGGCGUCGAGCGGCGGACGGGUGAGUAAUGCCUAGGAAAUUGCCUUGAUGUGGGGGAUAACCAUUGGAAACGAUGGCUAAUACCGCAUAAUGCCUACGGGCCAAAGAGGGGGACCUUCGGGCCUCUCGCGUCAAGAUAUGCCUAGGUGGGAUUAGCUAGUUGGUGAGGUAAUGGCUCACCAAGGCGACGAUCCCUAGCUGGUCUGAGAGGAUGAUCAGCCACACUGGAACUGAGACACGGUCCAGACUCAUACGGGAGGCAGCAGUGGGGAAUAUUGCACAAUGGGCGAAAGCCUGAUGCAGCCAUGCCGCGUGUAUGAAGAAGGCCUUCGGGUUGUAAAGUACUUUCAGUUGUGAGGAAGGGGGUGUCGUUAAUAGCGGCAUCUCUUGACGUUAGCAACAGAAGAAGCACCGGCUAACUCCGUGCCAGCAGCCGCGGUAAUACGGAGGGUGCGAGCGUUAAUCGGAAUUACUGGGCGUAGAAGCGCAUGCAGGUGGUUCAUUAAGUCAGAUGUGAAAGCCCGGGGCUCAACCUCGGGAACUGCAUUUGAAACUGGUGAACUAGAGUACUGUAGAGGGGGGGUAGAAUUUCAGGUGUAGCGGUGAAAUGCGUAGGAGAUCUGAAGGGAAUACCAGUGGCGAAGGCGGCCCCCCUGGACAGAUACUGACACUCAGAUGCGAAAGCGUGGGG